Molecule: ribosomal RNA, 254 nt
Filed under: uncultured bacterium
Lineage: Bacteria
Description: partial 16S ribosomal RNA
Rfam family: Bacterial small subunit ribosomal RNA
Source: RNAcentral
CACGUAGGGGGCAAGCGUUGUCCGGAUUUAUUGGGCGUAAAGAGCUCGUAGGUGGUUCGGUAAGUCAGGUGUGAAACCUCCAGGCUCAACCUGGGGACGCCACUUGAUACUGCUGUGCUUGGAGUCCGGUAGGGGAGCGUGGAAUUCCUGGUGUAGCGGUGAAAUGCGCAGAUAUCAGGAGGAACACCAGCGGCGAAGGCGCCUCCCUGGGCCGAAACUGACGCUGAGGAGCGAAAGCGUGGGGAGCGAACAGG